Molecule: non-coding RNA, 120 nt
Organism: Erwinia tasmaniensis
Lineage: Bacteria; Pseudomonadati; Pseudomonadota; Gammaproteobacteria; Enterobacterales; Erwiniaceae
Source: Rfam
GAGACAGCCUGAUGACCACAAUCAUUAUUACCACCACCAUUACCACAGGUAACGGUGCGGGCUGACGCAUACAGGAUAAAUUAAAAAAGCCCGCACCUGACCAGUGCGGGCUUUUUUUUC